RNAcentral lists this ribosomal RNA (254 nucleotides) under uncultured bacterium. Its description in RNAcentral is "partial 16S ribosomal RNA". It matches the Rfam family "Bacterial small subunit ribosomal RNA", at positions 524 to 776 of the family's 1533-position model. The record is from RNAcentral.
GACAGAGGGUGCAAACGUUGUUCGGAUUUACUGGGCGUAAAGCGUGUGUAGGCGGCUUGGCAAGUUGGAUGUGAAAUCCCGCGGCUCAACCGUGGACGUGCAUCCAAAAACUGCUUCGCUAGAGUCUCGGAGAGGAAGGUGGAAUUCCUGGUGUAGCGGUGAAAUGCGCAGAUAUCAGGAGGAACACCGGUGGCGAAGGCGGGUCUCUGGGCAGUAACUGACGCUGAGGAGCGAAAGCGUGGGGAGCGAACAGG